AGUGAACGCUGGCGGUAGGCCUAACACAUGCAAGUCGAACGGCAGCACAGUAAGAGCUUGCUCUUACGGGUGGCGAGUGGCGGACGGGUGAGGAAUACAUCGGAAUCUACUUUUUCGUGGGGGAUAACGUAGGGAAACUUACGCUAAUACCGCAUACGACCUACGGGUGAAAGCAGGGGAUCUUCGGACCUUGCGUGAUUGAAUGAGCCGAUGUCGGAUUAGCUAGUUGGCGGGGUAAAGGCCCACCAAGGCGACGAUCCGUAGCUGGUCUGAGAGGAUGAUCAGCCACACUGGAACUGAGACACGGUCCAGACUCCUACGGGAGGCAGCAGUGGAGAAUAUUGGACAAUGGGCGCAAGCCUGAUCCAGCCAUACCGCGUGGGUGAAGAAGGCCUUCGGGUUGUAAAGCCCUUUUGUUGGGAAAGAAAAGCAGCAGGUUAAUACCCCGCUGUUCUGACGGUACCCAAAGAAUAAGCACCGGCUAACUUCGUG
This 492-nucleotide ribosomal RNA is filed under the name uncultured bacterium. RNAcentral's name for it is "partial 16S ribosomal RNA". It matches the Rfam family "Bacterial small subunit ribosomal RNA", at positions 29 to 507 of the family's 1533-position model. The record is from RNAcentral.